UUUGCCCAAUGGGCGCAAGCCUGAUGCAGCCAUGCCGCGUGUAUGAAGAAGCCUUCGGGUUGUAAAGUACUUUCAGCAGUGAGGAAGGUGGGUAUGUUAAUAGCAUAUUCAUUUGACGUUAGCUGCAGAAGAAGCACCGGCUAAUUCCGUGCCAGCAGCCGCGGUAAUACGGAGGGUGCGAGCGUUAAUCGGAAUUACUGGGCGUAAAGCGCAUGCAGGUGGUUUGUUAAGUCAGAUGUGAAAGCCCGGGGCUCAACCUCGGAAUUGCAUUUGAAACUGGCAAACUAGAGUACUGUAGAGGGGGGUAGAAUUUCAGGUGUAGCGGUGAAAUGCGUAGAGAUCUGAAGGAAUACCGGUGGCGAAGGCGGCCCCCUGGACAGAUACUGACACUCAGAUGCGAAAGCGUGGGGAGCAAACAGGAUUAGAUACCCUGGUAGUCCACGCCGUAAACGAUGUCUACUUGGAGGUUGUGGCCUUGAGCCGUGGCUUUCGGAGCUAACGCGUUAAGUAGACCGCCUGGGGAGUACGGUCGCAAGAUUAAAACUCAAAUGAAUUGACGGGGGCCCGCACAAGCGGUGGAGCAUGUGGUUUAAUUCGAUGCAACGCGAAGAACCUUACCUACUCUUGACAUCUACAGAAGCCAGCGGAGACGCAGGUGUGCCUUCGGGAACUGUAAGACAGGUGCUGCAUGGCUGUCGUCAGCUCGUGUUGUGAAAUGUUGGGUUAAGUCCCGCAACGAGCGCAACCCUUAUCCUUGUUUGCCAGCACUUCGGGUGGGAACUCCAGGGAGACUGCCGGUGAUAAGCCGGAGGAAGGUGGGGACGACGUCAAGUCAUCAUGGCCCUUACGAGUAGGGCUACACACGUGCUACAAUGGCGCAUACAGAGGGCGGCCAACUUGCGAAAGUGAGCGAAUCCCAAAAAGUGCGUCGUAGUCCGGAUUGGAGUCUGCAACUCGACUCCAUGAAGUCGGAAUCGCUAGUAAUCGUGGAUCAGAAUGCCACGGUGAAUACGUUCCCGGGCCUUGUACACACCGCCCGUCACACCAUGGGAGUGGGCUGCAAAAGAAGUGGGUAGUUUAACCUUCGGGAGGACGCUCACCACUUUGUGGUUCAUGACUGGGGUGAAGUCGUAACAAGGUAACCG
Molecule: ribosomal RNA, 1145 nt
Filed under: uncultured bacterium
Lineage: Bacteria
Description: bacterial SSU rRNA
Rfam family: Bacterial small subunit ribosomal RNA
Source: RNAcentral